This 389-nucleotide ribosomal RNA is filed under the name uncultured bacterium. RNAcentral's name for it is "bacterial SSU rRNA". It matches the Rfam family "Bacterial small subunit ribosomal RNA", at positions 28 to 417 of the family's 1533-position model. The record is from RNAcentral.
GACGAACGCUGGCGGCGUGCUUAACACAUGCAAGUCGAGCGGUAAGGCCCUUUCGGGGGUACACGAGCGGCGAACGGGUGAGUAACACGUGGGUGACCUGCCUUUAGCUCUGGGAUAAGCCCGGGAAACUGGGUCUAAUACCGGAUACGACUCCGCGGUGCAUGCUGUGGGGUGGAAAGCCUUGUGCGGCUGGAGAUGGGGCCCGCGGCCUAUCAGCUUGUUGGUGGGGUGAUGGCCUACCAAGGCGACGACGGGUAGCCGGCCUGAGAGGGCGACCGGCCACACUGGGACUGAGACACGGCCCAGACUCCUACGGGAGGCAGCAGUGGGGAAUCUUGCGCAAUGGGCGAAAGCCUGACGCAGCGACGCCGCGUGAGGGAUGACGGCCU